Podarcis lilfordi (Lilford's wall lizard) is the source of this 4739-nucleotide non-coding RNA. NCBI's taxonomy places the organism in Eukaryota, Metazoa, Chordata, Lepidosauria, Squamata, Lacertidae. The record is from the annotation of a GenBank genome assembly.
GCUUAAAGGGGUGAAGGAUAAUCCAAGAAGAGGAUAAUACAGCCCUUGAGUGUCAGAAAAACCAUUUAUCCCUUGAAUAAUGAAGGUAAGUCUAUGGGCUUUUCCAGACAAUAUUUUUCAAAAUGGAUUCCCCCCCCCCCUUUAGGGCUAUGCUAGUGCUAAGCUCGCUGCAGGGGAAAUAGCCAUAGUGCUGUUCACAACAAAGAGACCAUCUUGGUCGUGAGUCUUGGAAGACCUGCUCCCUGCUUUUCAGGCCUUUUCUCACUUGGUCCGGGAGGGCAGGCCCUGACUGAAGCUGAAGCUGUGGAUGAAACCAAAGACCAUCUUGGCUGUCUUUUAAUACAGACCUAGGUCCUCAAGCCUGAGCUUCCACGGCCACCACCUACCAUGAAUCACCGUUGGCAGGACUGGCAGCAGCAGCAGAUAUGUACUAUGCCUAUGAUAAUAUUUUAUUCACUUCCUGCCAACCUAGCAGUUCGAAAGCACGUCAAAGUGUAAGUAGAUAAAUAGGUACCGCUCCGGCGGGAAGGUCAAUGGUGUUUCUGUGCGCUGCUCUGGUUUCACCAGAAGCGGCUUAGUGAUGCUGGCCACAUGACCCUGAAAAACUGUCUGCGGACAAACGUCUGCUCCCUCGGCCAGUAAAGCGAGAUGAGCGCCGCAACCCCAGAGUUGUUUGUGACUGGACUUAACUGUCAGGGGUCCUUUACCUUUACUUUUUAAUUAUGCUGUUUUAAAUGCGCAUUUUAUAUUCUACUUCCUUUAGUAAUGUUUUAUUUUGAAAAGUUUCAGGUAAAGUUUGUUACCUUUGCUAGAUUAAAUGUGCAUUCUGUAGUUGACCUCUUUUGUAAUGUUUUGUUUUGAAAUCUUUAAGAGAAUAUUUUAGUUUUCCCGUUAAUCAUGUUUUUUUGAAUGUGUCCUUUAUAUUUGACUUUUUCUGUAAUAUUUUAUUCUGAAUUGUUUUACUUGAUGUUUUAAAAGUUUGGCAGUGGGCAUGACACUCCAGGAGAACAACUCCGUUCUUUCUGUGCAGUUCUGAACUCCUUGCCCUGAUCUUAGACUCCUUAAAUUUGAACCACUGCUUCCAGCCCAGCUAGCCUUGGCUUAUCUAUCACUUAGCCAGAGCAUAGUGUCUGCUGUGGCUGAAUCUUCCUUACUCUCAAGUAAGAGCCUCUGCCAUCAUGGUGUGAGCGAAAGCCAGGUCACACUUCUCCAGAUUUUGUGAUGUGACUCCCCAACUAAAAAUGCAUACCAAAAUGUGCAUAUUAUGGGAAUGUGCACAUGCACAUUUAUUGGUGAUUGUGAACAUGCUGUACGGAAAUCCAUUGCAAAAAUUGCUUGCAAUGUGUAAAUUUACAUGCAAAAAUGUCUAUACUUGAAGAAAUCAGCAUGAAAAUUCAAUUAAAAAAAAAAGAAAUCACACACUGAUGCAGAAAUAGGGUGAACUGAAUUUCAGAUUAGGUAAAGGGACCCCUGACCGUUAGGUCCAGUCGCGGACUACUCUGGGGUUGCGGUGCUCAUAUCGCUUUAUUGGCCGAGGGAGCCGGCCUACAGCUUCUGGGUCAUGUGGCCAGCAUGACUAAGCCGCUUCUGGCGAACCAGAGCAGUGCAUGGAAACGCCGUUUAUCUUCCAGCUGGAGCGGUACCUAUUUAUCUAUUUGCACUUGAUGUGCUUUCGAACUGCUAGGAGCAGGGACCAAGCAACGGGAGCUCACCCCGUUGCGGGGAUUCGAACCGCCAACCUUCUGAUCAGCGAGCCCUAGGCUUUCAGAUUACAAACUGAGAAAAAAUAACUUGUUUACAAUUUUACACGCUUAUUGCAAAUCUCAUUCAUGCGUGAAACAGUUUGAAAGUUCACAGCUUCCACAUAGCACAAACGCGGCUCUAUUCUUGGAUUCCAUUGUCCUUAAUCUGGAAGAACUGCUUUUGCUCCUUGGUUCUUUACUUGAAAGCCCUACAUCACCAAGAAGCAGGCGUUGGAAAGGUGGGUCAAGCCAACCCUUUUACCGCUCUGUCACUACCACAUGCCCCACAAAGUGUGUGCACAGGUAAACACUCCACAUUCAAUUAUCUUGAAUAUGCAUCCUGAGCUGCAGUCAAAGUAUCAGGUUCUGAUCUAGCUUACCCGAGAUUUAAACCCAUGUAAUCAUGUUAGCUUAAAUGGUAUUACCCUGGUGCAUGACAGCAUGCUCUGAAAUGGGAAGAGCAAAGUCUGUGACUUUUCUUUCUUUUUCUUUUUUUCCAGAAAGACAUUUAUCCUGAGACGUAAAGGGUGCCUUGCUUUCUCCUCUCUCUCUCUCUCUCUCUCUUAAUUGAGGCUUUCAGCACAAACUAGGUUAAAAUUCUGGCCACUCUUGUGGUAAAAUGAACAGAACUUUGUAAUAUACUGCAGUCGGCUUACACAGUUGAUCAGAAGAAGCAUUCUCCAGUUGCUGUACUUGAACAUUCCACAACAACCCAAGCCAAAACCCCGCUCUGCUCUGUUUAGAUGCUGCUCUCCAGGAUUUAGCCUGACACCUUCCAAACAGACUGCACGAAAGAGAUGUCUUGUUUUGUUCUGCUGGUUAUCAUUCUUCCCUUCCUUUCUAUCCCCUCCCUCCUUCGGAGAGAUUUCAGCAAAAACCAUAAGCUUCUGACAGAGUGAAUUUGUGAUCUUAUCCAAUCAUCUGGGCUGUUUGCAAAACUUCAAUAGGUGGCAGCGUUUGGUUGAUAAAUGUUUUGUUAUCCAAGUGAUCUCAUUUAGUGCAACUGUUGCAAUAUUAAUAAACCGAACUUAUGAUUGCAUUUGCCAGGACUGAAAACAUUGCCAUAUCCCUGGCAUUCGCUCAUCUGAACUGACAACAGUGUUCUUUGUGCUAUGGAAAGGCAGCAUUCUUCUGUGUCUGUGUCAGCAUGUGUACUGUUCGGGGGCAAACGGGGGAACAGAUGGGGCAGAGAGGGAAUGAACGCAGCGUAGGUUGGGAGCCUGUUUUGUGCUUGUAAUCCAAAGGUUUCUUUUUUUAAAAAGUGCACCUGGGAAAUGCAAAGCUAUUGUCUCUCUCUGUCUUCUUUCUUUACUGUUUUGCAUCCGAUCCAGUGCAGACCAGGUUGAUAGUUCUUGAAACAUCCUAUCUGACUUCUACCGGACAAUAAUAAUAGAAUCAUUGGGUUGAUUCAUCAUGUAUACAUACUUACAGCCUUUGGCUAUCAUCCUGUGGCUAGUGAUAUGAGCUCUGAGUAUGGAUUUUCUUGAGCUCUCAGUCUCACUUCGUGAACCAAAUCCUCACUUUAAUCUCUAUAAUCUCUGUUUGGGAUGGGUAAAUUGUGUUGGCCAACUCAGGUUUGUUUCUGCAGAAACAAAUCUUCUGUUUUUUCAGAAAGUAUUGCUUUAUCAAGAAUCUAGCAGUGCUAGAUUCCAAAACUCUGAGUCUACAGAGUUAAGUACACUUGAAUCAAUGGUGUUUGUUCUAGAUUGCAGUUACAGCCAAAAUGUUGAUCCAGCCAUUUGGGGAGUAAUUGGAAGCAAGACUAUUAUUUGUAUUAGACAUGAUAGAUAGAUGUUAGAUAGAUGGAGAGAGAGAAGAAGGAGGAGGAGGAGGAGGAGGAGGAGGAAGAGAAGUGUCUACUGCCACCUUUAUCACUUUCCUUGUGUAAGUACUGAAUGAUACACCAGCUUUUAUCUCCUAUCUUAGUUGAAACUGAUUCUCUUGGCAAUUUCACCUCCUCCAAUGAGUUUGGUUGCUGCGAGUUGUCUACUAGUCAAAGCAAGGCAGAUCUUUUUGAAGGCAAGAGUUUUUGGGGUACUGGAACUUAGCACUGCAAAAUCUUAGGGGGUGAGGGAUGAACAGUUUUAGUAGACAACUUGUAACCAAUGUGCAGACACAACUCCAUGAUAAUUCUGCCCUCUUGGAUAAAUCGAAAGCACAAGUCUUGCUUAAUUUGUGAGCAGUAAUGAUAAAGCUAGGCCUUUGGCACAGGUUCCCAAUCUGUAUUCCUCACUCUCUCCAUAGUACAGCUUCUCCUAAAUCAGCAAAGGCAGACACAACUUAGAACAUAUGGAAUGCCAACUGCAGAACUGGCACCAUGACAGCUGCCACAUAAUACUCAUUCUGUGCUUGUAAGGAAUCAUUCUCCUAGUGUGGUAGAACUUUUGAACUCUCUGCCUCUUGAGAUCAGGCAGGUGCACCCCCCUGCUUAAAGCAGUUUUGUUUAGGUAAGCCUAUAUGGUCAGCAGGUAGAUGUUGAUGUGUUUCAAUCUCUUUAAUCUUUAAUCAUGGCCACUGGUCCCAUCACCUCCUGGCAAAUAGAAGGGGAAGAAAUGGAGGCAGUGAGAGAUUUUACUUUCUUGGGUUCCAUGAUCACUGCAGAUGGUGACAGCAUCAUGAAAUUAAAAGACGCCUGCUUCUUGGGAGAAAAGCAAUGACAAACCUAGACAUAAUCUUAAAAAGCAGAGACAUCACCUUGCCAACAAAGGUCCGUAUAGUUAAAGCUAUGGUUUUCCCAGUAGUAAUGUAUGGAAGUGGGAGAAGACUUCCUAGAAAAGACCCUGAUGUUGGGAAAGAUUGAGGGAACAAGGAGAAGGGGACGACAGAGGACGAGAUGGUUGGACAGUGCUCUCGAAGCUACUAACAUGAGUCUGACCAAACUGCAGGAGGCAGUGGAAGACAGAAGUGCCUGGCGUGCUUUGGUCCAUGGGGUCACGAAGAGUCAGACACGACUAAACGGCUAAACAACAACAAUCUCUUUCUAGUUCACUGCAGGCU